Eumeta japonica is the source of this 72-nucleotide non-coding RNA. NCBI's taxonomy places the organism in Eukaryota, Metazoa, Arthropoda, Insecta, Lepidoptera, Psychidae. The record is from the annotation of a GenBank genome assembly.
GUCUGUUUGGCGCAGUUGGUGGUGACUCUACUUGCUGCGUUGCGGGCGUGGGUUCGAUUCCCACACAAGACA